GCCGGGCGUGCUGGUGCAUGCCUGUAAUCCCAGCUACUGGGGAGGCUGAGGCAGGGGAAUCGCUUGAACCCGGGAGGCAGAGGCUGCAGUGAGCCGAGAUCGCGCCACUGCAGUCCAGCCUGGGCGACAGAGCGAGACUCCGUCUCAA
Molecule: signal recognition particle RNA, 148 nt
Filed under: Pan paniscus (pygmy chimpanzee)
Lineage: Eukaryota; Metazoa; Chordata; Mammalia; Primates; Hominidae
Also listed under: 1 other name
Description: Metazoan signal recognition particle RNA
Rfam family: Metazoan signal recognition particle RNA
About the family: The signal recognition particle (SRP) is a universally conserved ribonucleoprotein. It is involved in the co-translational targeting of proteins to membranes.
Source: Rfam by way of RNAcentral